Molecule: ribosomal RNA, 497 nt
Filed under: uncultured bacterium
Lineage: Bacteria
Description: partial 16S ribosomal RNA
Rfam family: Bacterial small subunit ribosomal RNA
Source: RNAcentral
GAUGAACGCUGGCGGCGUGCCUAAUACAUGCAAGUCGAGCGAACGGACGAGAAGCUUGCUUCUCUGAUGUUAGCGGCGGACGGGUGAGUAACACGUGGAUAACCUACCUAUAAGACUGGGAUAACUUCGGGAAACCGUAGCUAAUACCGGAUAAUAUUUUGAACCGCAUGGUUCAAAAGUGAAAGACGGUCUUGCUGUCACUUAUAGAUGGAUCCGCGCUGCAUUAGCUAGUUGGUAAGGUAACGGCUUACCAAGGCAACGAUGCAUAGCCGACCUGAGAGGGUGAUCGGCCACACUAGAGCUGAAACACGGUCCAGACUACUACGUGAGGCAGCAGAAGGGAAUCUUCCGCAAUAGGCGAAAGCCUGACGGAGCAACGCCGCGUGAGAGAUGAAAGUCUUCGGAUCGUAAAACUCUGUUAUUAGGGAAGAACAUAUGUGUAAGUAACUGUGCACAUCUUGACGGUACCUAAUCAGAAAGCAACGGCUAACUACGUG